UUGUACAGACUUAAAACUUGCAAGUGAAAGAUUGUUUACAAACUUCCUGAAUAUUAUCAAUGCAGAACAGCUGUGGAGACACUUUAUCCCGAAGAUCUAUACCAAACGUAGUCUGCUUACCACGUACCACGGUUGCAUCUUGAGCAGUGACCUGCCAAGGGCAAAGGACCCUGCUCCCUGGACUCACAGAUUUUCUAAUGCUUGGGCAGGUGGUUACUGCAUGUUCCACAUCAGUCAAUGCAACUUAGGACAAAACUAACAGGAUACAUAAAACAGAGGUGAGGCUGCCGGGACCAGUGUAUUUCCGUUGCAGCCAGAUGGAUUUUUUUGUUUGUUUUUCAUUUUGUUGAUUCUCAGAAGCAGAAAGCAUCACUUUAAAAGUUUGUUUGUUCAUGCAAACUCUAUUUGCAUUCUUACAUUAGUUAAGCUAAGCAGCAAAAAGAAAAAACACACACACUCACAUUUAGCCCAUGUCAUUUACUUGUCAGUUUCUUUGACAUAAAGCCGCAUCUUCUCCACAUGGGCUUCACGUGGUUUGGAGAUGGGUGGGGGAAAACAAUCAGGUUUCUUCAGGCUGAGGAGGACUUGCUCAGGCCGAUUCCAAACAUUGUGUUCGUUCAAUGCGUAGAAAUGAUUUGCAUGAUGGCAUGCCGUGAUCAGGAGUCAUGCAUGAGAACCAUACACCACAGGACACUACUGAUCCUGUCCCCUGCACUGGGUCAGCCUUUGGACAGGACCCAGCCCUGCACCGUUCACUGUAUUUGGAGAAAAAAUGGUCUUGAGAUGGGCCACAGAGCUAUAAGAUCCCGCUCGUCCUCCAAGUGCUCGUGCUAGUGAUGUCAUUAAGCUACUAGAGCAUAUUAAUGAGAUUUUUUGAGCUCUGAUCUUUUUUCCUCCCCCAGGCCCUGGUCUCCCCACCCAGCAGGCUGUCUCCUCAGUGACACACACAGGCCUUGGUAUCUGACAUCCAUCAGCCAGCUUCACAGGGAAGAAGCCACCUCCACUCUAUUUGAAGUUUCACUUUUUUUUUGUUUGUUUGUUUCUAAAAAACUUUUCCCACCUUCUUUCUCCUCACCUGAUGGCCCUCCACCCACCCACUCGUUCACGCACUCUCGCACUCACCCGCCCUGCUCCACACUUCUUUGGUAGUAAGUGACACCAUCACCAGCAGUUUACACCCGCAGUUAACAGGCAUUGAACUGAAAGAGUCAGUGAAGGCGUUCUCGCAUGUCUUCACCCAGUGGAUAAGUGGCAACGCUUUGCCAAAUAUUAACGAAGCCAAUCAAAAAGCAGCAGCAGCCACAGUAUCACUGCACAUAUAUAUAUAUAGAUAUAUAAAUACGAUAUAAAUAUUUAUUUUUUGUAGCCAGGUCCUUGGUGCAGUAUUUAUACUCCAGAAUCCACCUUUAAAAAAAGGACAAAAAGCAAAAAGACAUGUGUGAUGCUGUUAAUUUAAAACGCAGAGCCAAAGCCACCGAGCAGCAGCUGACAUGGUUGCUGGUUUGUGUGUGAAAAACACUUUCCCCUCUUCUUUUCUUUAACCUCCUUGUUGCUUAGGAUGAGGAGACUCCGUCAUUUAAAGCCGAGGGCGAGAGCAGGAGACACUUCCCAAGUCAGCUGCCUUGCACCCGCCCCUCUGAAUAAGCCACUCUUGGCAUCAGAAGUUGACUGAGGAGAGAUUAACAGAAACUCCCGGUCAAAGCCCCUGGAACAGCAAUGCCCAGAGUUCUCUCAUUUUUUGCUGCAACCAACGUAAGCUUGUAAAAGACCAGUAGUAAAGACUAGUGUAUUAGUGAAUGCAUGGAGGCCAGCACUGCUCUAACCAAGACAUGAUGAAACGUACAUCACUUCUAUAAGCCAAAAGGAAACAAAAUAAAAACGACCCUUUUUACUGUACAAGGGAAGCCUGUCUUGGUGUGCGUUUGUUGCUUGACUCUCCCAAUACUUUUUAUUCCUGGGAAGUGGGACUUUAGCACAUUUGGGGAAAGGAGGGGAACGAAAGGGAGAGAAAUGAGGAUUUCUCGCAAAGUUCUGGCUAAAAAGCCAAGAUUGGAGAGAAAAGCGAAGUCCUGAUCUCCCCAGGUCCCCACUCACCCACCGUGUGUGGCAUUCGUCCCCCUGCUGGGCCACUGCUUCCAGGCCCAUGAUACCUAUUCCUCACCGGUCCCCCGGCAGAGCCCCCAGAGAUGAUGUCAGCCAACCCAGCUGGGCUGGCCUUACUCCUGUCUUUUUCACCAGUAUUUUAAGAAGAAAACCAUUCCAACGCCCCACAGCUCGGGCGAGCACAAUGCCCAACAGCCUCCACUCUGCUAGCUACUGCUGAGCCCUGCCCUCCAUCUCCCCCACCAAACCAGCAGACUCAGCUGGUCUCAUUGGCACCACCCCGCCCCGCUUUGGGGACACCCCUCUCUAGGCCACGUCUCCCAGUCCAGGAACACUCAGGAGGAUUUUGAAGUGCCCACUCUAGUCCGCUCCAGGAGCUCCGCUCUGGAGAGAGAUGGCUGGUAGGUCAGUCCCCAUCCUCCCCUCUCGGCCCCCAGCCUCCAGGCCUACUGUGGAGGUUAGAUGGCCAUGGUUGUGACUUAGUGACUGAGUCCUGGGCAUCUUCUGUAAUGAUGCCUCUUUCUUUUCUCAGAUGUUGCCCAAAGUUUUGCAAAAAGCUUCGUUCAUUUUCAGGUACCCCCACCCCCUAAAGAAUUGGCUGCAGCUAGCCAGCCAGGGGGGACAUCAGGAGAGAAGAGGGAGUCUGGGUGGGGAGGGGCCCAAGUUUUGCCAUCUGGGCUGUGGCUCAGCAUUGUGGUUUCUUGGAUUCCCCUUCCAAGAGCACCAAGAUUUCCUGUCAAAACGCUCCUGAGGCACCCCCUGCCCCUGCCCCCCACUGCUCUUUGCUGUACAUAGAGGCUAAGUGGGGUGGGGUGGGCAGGUGUGCACGUGUGGUGUGUGUGUGUGUGAAGAAUGUAUAUAGGUAAAGGGGAGCGCGGUCCAGUGGUUCCAGAAAAGGGACAGAACUCCUGUGUUCCAUCCCUAAUUCGACCACUGACUCGCUGUGUGGCCUUGGGCAAGUCACUUAACCUCUCUGUGCCUCAGUUUCCCCAUCUGUAAAAUGGGGAUAAUAAUACUGACCUACCUCACAGGGGUGUUGUGAGGCUUUAACUAAAUGUUUUGUAAAGUGUUUUUUGAGAUACAGAGGCAAAGGCACUAGGGAAGGGCAAAGUAUUUAUUUGGACUUCCGGAAGAUGAAAUGGUACCAUAAAUGCUGCUAUUCUGAGAGCCAUUUUAAACUGCACUGCUCCAACCACCCCCGCUUCUCAUCACCAGGACAGCAGGUCGAGAAAAUGUCUUUCCUUUCACUUGCUUCUGGGGUUUGUGAUUGUUCUAGACACAAUUCUUUUACCCUUGCUGUAUCUCCUUCCCUCACCCCCUCGACUUGUUCCCUGUUCCGUUUAUGCGGAAAUGGCAGAAAUGCUUGAGAAAUGAGAAUGUAUAAGUGGAUUGGAAGUUUAUAGUCUGAAAUUUCAAUUUUACUUUGUACUGUACAUCUUUUUACUUUAGAAUUUGCAAUAAAGGGUUACGUCAAUCUUGUUUUCAACUCUCCUCUUGGACUGGCCUGUCAUUCUGUCAUUACUCUCACACCAGAGCCCCUUGGCCCAGGGAUGCCCACCUAGCAGGACCCCAGGGCGUCUGCUGUCCUUCCCCGUGGUGGGGGCACAGUCAGUGAAGUCGGUGUGGGGUCUCACCCAGGCUCAGCUCCCUUAGUGGGGCUGGCAAUGCCCCACUCACUCAGGUGGGUAGGGAGAGUUUGGGACUCCAGAGAGAGCUUUAGGAGGCCUUGCCUGAGUGGAGAGAGCAGCUUGGGGGCAGCAACCCCUGGAAGUGGGCACAGCUCCAGCAGGGCCUCAGAGUAACCUGAAG
RNAcentral lists this long non-coding RNA (3912 nucleotides) under Cervus hanglu yarkandensis (Yarkand deer). Its description in RNAcentral is "lncRNA (ENSCHYG00000001421.1)". Lineage: Eukaryota; Metazoa; Chordata; Mammalia; Artiodactyla; Cervidae. The record is from RNAcentral.